UAUUUCUAUUUUACAAAUUUUUUUGAACUAAACAAGACCUUAGAUAUAAUAAUACUAAUAUAAGCAGCACAAAAGACGGGUGAUGCUUUUAACGAAGGAGAAGACAGAAGAUAGAUCCCUCAGCAUCAACUCAAUCCCUGCCUGAUUCAGCGCUUGCUGCAGGCCCCUCCCUCCACCGGUCCAGCAGCGUCCAGCGUUUUUUUCUUUUUUUUUGAAGCGGACGACGGAGGCCUUGUUUAGUUCGCAAAAUUUUUCAAUAUUCCCCGUCAAAUCGAAUCUUGCGGCACAUGCAUGAAGCAUUAAAUAUACAUGAAAACAAAAACAAUUUGUACAGUUCAUCUGUAAACCGCGAGAUGAAUCUUUUAGGCCUAAUUACUCUAUAAUUGGACAAUGUUUGUCAAAUAAAAACGAAAGUGCUACAGUGCCGUUUUUCACAUGUUUUUGCGAACUGAACAAGGCCGGAGUUAGCGCCGACACGCGCGGCAGCGAGCCAGCGACUGCCGACGAGGACAUGCAUGUCCCUUGGCGCCCCAGCCGGCGGGGAUACCGGCCGCUGCCUCUGGCAUUAGCAUUUUGGCAAAAUGGC
This 586-nucleotide long non-coding RNA is filed under the name Sorghum bicolor (sorghum). RNAcentral's name for it is "long non-coding RNA (SBIC_LNC001760)". Lineage: Eukaryota; Viridiplantae; Streptophyta; Magnoliopsida; Poales; Poaceae. The record is from RNAcentral.